GGUUAAGCGACUAAGCGUACACGGUGGAUGCCCUGGCAGUCAGAGGCGAUGAAGGACGUGCUAAUCUGCGAUAAGCGUCGGUAAGGUGAUAUGAACCGUUAUAACCGGCGAUUUCCGAAUGGGGAAACCCAGUGUGAUUCGUCACACUAUCAUUAACUGAAUCCAUAGGUUAAUGAGGCGAACCGGGGGAACUGAAACAUCUAAGUACCCCGAGGAAAAGAAAUCAACCGAGAUUCCCCCAGUAGCGGCGAGCGAACGGGGAGCAGCCCAGAGCCUGAAUCAGUGUGUGUGUUAGUGGAAGCGUCUGGAAAGGCGCGCGAUACAGGGUGACAGCCCCGUACACAAAAAUGCACAUGCUGUGAGCUCGAUGAGUAGGGCGGGACACGUGGUAUCCUGUCUGAAUAUGGGGGGACCAUCCUCCAAGGCUAAAUACUCCUGACUGACCGAUAGUGAACCAGUACCGUGAGGGAAAGGCGAAAA
RNAcentral lists this ribosomal RNA (480 nucleotides) under Escherichia coli. RNAcentral describes it as "partial 23S ribosomal RNA". It matches the Rfam family "Bacterial large subunit ribosomal RNA", at positions 1 to 520 of the family's 2925-position model. Lineage: Bacteria; Pseudomonadati; Pseudomonadota; Gammaproteobacteria; Enterobacterales; Enterobacteriaceae. The record is from RNAcentral.